RNAcentral lists this ribosomal RNA (1410 nucleotides) under Capsicum annuum. Its description in RNAcentral is "bacterial SSU rRNA". It matches the Rfam family "Bacterial small subunit ribosomal RNA", at positions 8 to 1153 of the family's 1533-position model. The record is from RNAcentral. Lineage: Eukaryota; Viridiplantae; Streptophyta; Magnoliopsida; Solanales; Solanaceae.
AGAGUUUGAUCCUGGCUCAGAAGGAACGCUAGCUAUAUGCUUAACACAUGCAAGUCGAACGUUGUUUUCGGGGAGCUGGGCAGAAGGAAAAGAGGCUCCUAGAUAAACGUAGCUUGUCUCGCCCAGGAGGUGAGAAGAGUUGAGAACAAAGUAGCAAACGGGUGCAUAACGCGUGGGAAUCUGCCAAAUAGUUCAGGCCAAAUCCUGAAGAAAGCUAAAAACACAGUUUCAUGAGCCUGCGUAGUAUUAGGUAGUUAGUUAGGUAAAGGCUGACCAAGCCAAUGAUGCUUAGCUGGUCUUUUUGAAUGAUCAACUACACUGGGACUGAGACACAGCCCAAACUCCCACGGGGGCAGCAGUGGGGAAUCUUGGACAAUGGGCAAAAGCCCGAUCCAGCAAUAUCACAUGAGUGAAGAAGGGUAAUGCCGCUUGUAAAUCUCUUUUGUCGAGUGCUGCGGUAAGAUGGGGGGGGCAAGUGUUCUUCGAAAUGACUGGAUGUAAAGGGCACGUAGGCGGUGAAUCAGGUUGAAAGUGAAAGCCGCCAAAAACUGUCGGAAUGCUCUCAAAACCAAUUCUCUUAAGUGAGACAGAGGAGAGUGGAAUUUCAUGUGUAGGGGUAAAAUCUGGAGAUCUACAAAGGAACGCCAAAAGCGAAGACAACUCUCUAGGUCCCUACAGAUGCUGAGGUGCGAAAGCAUGGGGAGCGAACAGGAUUAGUUACCCUGGUAGUCCAUGUCGUAAACGAUGAGUGUUUGCCCUUGGUCUACGCAGAUCAGGGGCCCAGCUAACGCAUGAAACACUCCGCCUGCGGAGUAUGGUUGUAAGACCGAAACUUAAAAGAAUUGACGGGGGCCUGCACAAACGGUAAAGCAUGUGGUUUAAUUUGAUACAACGCGCAAAACCUUACUAGCCCUUGACAUAUGAACAAGAAAACCUGUCCUUAACGGGAUGGUACUGACUUUCAUAUAGGUGCUGCAUGGCUGUUGUCAGCUAUUGUCAUGAGAUGUUUGGUCAAGUCCUAUAACGAGUGAAACCCUCAUUUUGUGUUGCUGAGACUUGCGCCUAAGGAGAGAGUCUUUGAAAUCGAAGUUACCUAAGGAACCGAGUGAUGUGCCAGCGCUACUAAUUGAGUGCCAGCACGUAGCUGUGCUGUCAGUAAGAAGGUAGCCGACACCUUUUAAAGCACUUUCUAUUUCUAUUUAGCGCUCUUUUUUUAUUGUAGCUAGCGCGCUUGACUAAUGAUGAUAGAAAGGGAAUUUGUCGCUUGUUUAGUAAAGUCGAUGUUUUUGGUAUUAUCUUACAGGUGAAGACGACGUUGAUUUGAUGGCAGAGAAAGACUCGACAUUUAGGCAAGACUCCCGAUGGUGUGGUACGUAGUGGGUUUAGUACACCCCUCCCAAACAAACGGCU